Molecule: non-coding RNA, 125 nt
Filed under: Nephroselmis pyriformis
Lineage: Eukaryota; Viridiplantae; Chlorophyta; Nephroselmidophyceae; Nephroselmidales; Nephroselmidaceae
Source: RNAcentral
GGUCGAUUUUUUUUUUUUUUUUUUUUUUUUUUUUUUUUUUUUUUUUCUACUUUUUUGUUUUUUUUCUUCUUUUCGCUGCAUGUGCAACGUUAAUGGUUAAACUUGAAGUAAGAGCUAGGGCUGUA